GUAGGGCUGGCCCUUGGGAGGUGUUUCCCCAGCUGCUACUGACACGGUCCCCCCAGGAGACACACCCUCAGCCGCCGGCGCAUCAUCCCGCUGCCCCAGUGGAAGGCCAACCCCGAGACGGACCCCGAGGCCCUGUUUCAGAAGGAGCAGCUUGUGCUGGCCCUGUAUCCACAGACCACCUGCUUCUACCGGGCCCUGAUCCACACUCCCCCACAUCGGCCCCAGGAUGACUACUCCGUCCUGUUUGAAGACACCUCCUACGCAGAUGGCUACUCCCCUCCUCUCAAUGUGGCCCAGAGGUACGUUGUGGCUUGUAAGGAGCCUAAGAAAAAGUGAAGAAGGCUGGCAGACGCAGGCAACUGCUGCCCUCACUCCUCCUGGGAGAGGCAACAAAGGCUUUUCUGUGAGCAAAUAAAUCCUCAUCCCUCUC
Long non-coding RNA from Fukomys damarensis (Damara mole-rat), 430 nucleotides. RefSeq lists it as uncharacterized. The transcript is spliced from 2 exons. NCBI's taxonomy places the organism in Eukaryota, Metazoa, Chordata, Mammalia, Rodentia, Bathyergidae. The record is from RefSeq and is a predicted model, not a curated record.